AGAGUUUGAUCCUGGCUCAGGACGAACGCUGGCGGCGCGCUUAACACAUGCAAGUCGAGCGAGAACCAGGGCUUCGGCCCUGGGGACAGCGGCGAACGGGUGAGUAACACGUGGGUAAUCAACCCUCGACACUGGGAUAGCCCGGGGAAACCCGGAUUAAUACCGGAUGUCCCGUCCGACCCUCGGGUCGGCCGGCAAAGGUAGCUUCGGCCUCCGGUCGGGGACGAGCCCGCGGCGGAUUAGCUUGUUGGUGGGGUAACGGCCCACCAAGGCGACGAUCCGUAGCUGGUCUGAGAGGACGAUCAGCCACACUGGGACUGAGACACGGCCCAGACUCCUACGGGAGGCAGCAGUGGGGAAUCUUGCGCAAUGGGCGAAAGCCUGACGCAGCGACGCCGCGUGAGGGAAGAAGGCCUUCGGGUUGUAAACCUCUUUCAGGAGGGACGAAGCCACUCAGGUUAAUAGCCGAGAGGGUGACGGUACCUCCAGAAGAAGCCCCGGCUAACUACGUGCCAGCAGCCGCGGUAAUACGUAGGGGGCAAGCGUUGUCCGGAUUUAUUGGGCGUAAAGAGCGUGUAGGCGGCCGUACAGGUCAGCUGUGAAAACUCGAGGCUC
Molecule: ribosomal RNA, 615 nt
Filed under: uncultured bacterium
Lineage: Bacteria
Description: bacterial SSU rRNA
Rfam family: Bacterial small subunit ribosomal RNA
Source: RNAcentral